GGUGAGAGGUGGCAGGGGAUGGUUUGGGUAGACAGCUAGAAAGGAUGUAAAGUUGAAGUAUGGUUAGUGUCUGAAGCCAGCAACAGAUAUGCUAAUUAGACAGCUAAGUGGGUUACUUUUCACACAGUUAAUAAUCAACUGGUUUGGGCCAUAGGUCCGGAAUUCCAAAAAUGAGGACUGGAUUAGCUUCCUCAGGGACAGGGGGCACGGACUCAGGAAGGUCCAGGUCUCAGCUUCAGUGUGGAGAGCGCUGGUUCAAGGUGGGGGCAAGAGCAGGUCGGCUGAGGCAAACAAAUGAGAGCCAUCCCUUGUCAUGAAGAAUGAAAAAGAGAAAAAUAACUCCAUUCUUAUAGUCAGAAAAGGUUGGAAACACAUGCCAAGCUUUGCCAGUGUAGAAGCUGCCACAGGACAACAUUCACUAAGUCUACUUCAUGGACUAAUGUCUCUAGAAACUGACCUGAAACUGCUAUGAUUCGAAAUUGCAACAUCUCACUCUGGCUAUUAAAAAAAUCAGGUCUCCAGAGGAAGGUGUGUAUCCAGUACCCCUGUAAUUUGCGUGCCAACAUUUCCAUCUGGCACAUUUCUGAACACUGCAGAAAUUAACUGUGCCAAGCCAAACAUUAUCAAAAGUGUCCGGCAUCAAGAGUAAACAUCUUCCCACCGUGAUUCUGCGCCAUCAAACACUCUUCAGCUAAUUUCAUCUUGUGCAUUACUUUGGGAGCACACCGAGGCCAAGUGAAACUGCGGAAAUGGGAACAAUGCACAGAGGAAAAAUCUUACACCAUUAAGGGAUCCGUUUCUUCUUCACACAAAUAAUAGCCCAGCCACGCCUUGCUUUACAGGCAAGACUAGAUGGCUCCAGGAAAUUCUCAGCAAAGAGAAUGUCCUGUCUGUCCUCUCAAACCUAGGUAUCCCUCCCACAAGAAAGUUUGCCCUCACCUACAGUAAGGCCAAGAGUACGGGCUACCUAGAGUGGAACAUCAAUAGCCCAGGGAAAUUGGGAUGCACUCAUUAGCCCAGCACAGUCUCAGGGCACGGCUGCUAGGGUUAAGCGCCCGGAAUCGGGAGCCCCUGACUUGAACACCGGUUAAAAGGUAGC
Phascolarctos cinereus (koala) is the source of this 1099-nucleotide non-coding RNA. The record is from RefSeq and is a predicted model, not a curated record. NCBI's taxonomy places the organism in Eukaryota, Metazoa, Chordata, Mammalia, Diprotodontia, Phascolarctidae.